Molecule: ribosomal RNA, 1494 nt
Filed under: uncultured organism
Description: SSU rRNA
Rfam family: Bacterial small subunit ribosomal RNA
Source: RNAcentral
GGCUCAGGAUGAACGCUGGCGGCGUGCCUAAUACAUGCAAGUCGAACGAGUUCUGAUUAUUGAAAGGUGCUUGCAUCUUGAUUUUAAUUUUGAACGAGUGGCGGACGGGUGAGUAACACGUGGGUAACCUGCCCUUAAGUGGGGGAUAACAUUUGGAAACAGAUGCUAAUACCGCAUAAAUCCAAGAACCGCAUGGUUCUUGGCUGAAAGAUGGCGUAAGCUAUCGCUUUUGGAUGGACCCGCGGCGUAUUAGCUAGUUGGUGAGGUAACGGCUCACCAAGGCAAUGAUACGUAGCCGAACUGAGAGGUUGAUCGGCCACAUUGGGACUGAGACACGGCCCAAACUCCUACGGGAGGCAGCAGUAGGGAAUCUUCCACAAUGGACGCAAGUCUGAUGGAGCAACGCCGCGUGAGUGAAGAAGGCUUUCGGGUCGUAAAACUCUGUUGUUGGAGAAGAAUGGUCGGCAGAGUAACUGUUGUCGGCGUGACGGUAUCCAACCAGAAAGCCACGGCUAACUACGUGCCAGCAGCCGCGGUAAUACGUAGGUGGCAAGCGUUAUCCGGAUUUAUUGGGCGUAAAGCGAGCGCAGGCGGUUUUUUAAGUCUGAUGUGAAAGCCCUCGGCUUAACCGAGGAAGUGCAUCGGAAACUGGGAAACUUGAGUGCAGAAGAGGACAGUGGAACUCCAUGUGUAGCGGUGAAAUGCGUAGAUAUAUGGAAGAACACCAGUGGCGAAGGCGGCUGUCUGGUCUGUAACUGACGCUGAGGCUCGAAAGCAUGGGUAGCGAACAGGAUUAGAUACCCUGGUAGUCCAUGCCGUAAACGAUGAAUGCUAGGUGUUGGAGGGUUUCCGCCCUUCAGUGCCGCAGCUAACGCAUUAAGCAUUCCGCCUGGGGAGUACGACCGCAAGGUUGAAACUCAAAGGAAUUGACGGGGGCCCGCACAAGCGGUGGAGCAUGUGGUUUAAUUCGAAGCAACGCGAAGAACCUUACCAGGUCUUGACAUCUUUUGAUCACCUGAGAGAUCAGGUUUCCCCUUCGGGGGCAAAAUGACAGGUGGUGCAUGGUUGUCGUCAGCUCGUGUCGUGAGAUGUUGGGUUAAGUCCCGCAACGAGCGCAACCCUUAUGACUAGUUGCCAGCAUUUAGUUGGGCACUCUAGUAAGACUGCCGGUGACAAACCGGAGGAAGGUGGGGAUGACGUCAAAUCAUCAUGCCCCUUAUGACCUGGGCUACACACGUGCUACAAUGGAUGGUACAACGAGUUGCGAGACCGCGAGGUCAAGCUAAUCUCUUAAAGCCAUUCUCAGUUCGGACUGUAGGCUGCAACUCGCCUACACGAAGUCGGAAUCGCUAGUAAUCGCGGAUCAGCACGCCGCGGUGAAUACGUUCCCGGGCCUUGUACACACCGCCCGUCACACCAUGAGAGUUUGUAACACCCGAAGCCGGUGGCGUAACCCUUUUAGGGAGCGAGCCGUCUAAGGUGGGACAAAUGAUU